AUUCGAAUUACCGCACUUUAAUUUUCCAUUCACUGAAAUUCACGGAUAAAAACGAAAAAUUACAAAAACCGAGUUUAAAAUUUUAUGUCGUGAACCUGCACAAAUAUUUGUUCUGUAUAUAUAUCUGCGGUACGUACUUAACUAUAUUAUUAUAUAUGUUUAAUCAUUUGAAGUAUAUAAAAUAUAAAAUACAAUUACGAGUCAUCUUUGGGCUGAACUAAACAAAAUGGAGGACCGUCAAUAAACUAUAGCAGUGAUGAGGAAAUAGUAUUUGACG
Molecule: non-coding RNA, 277 nt
Organism: Cinara cedri
Lineage: Eukaryota; Metazoa; Arthropoda; Insecta; Hemiptera; Aphididae
Source: the annotation of a GenBank genome assembly